This 442-nucleotide ribosomal RNA is filed under the name uncultured Prevotella sp. RNAcentral's name for it is "bacterial SSU rRNA". It matches the Rfam family "Bacterial small subunit ribosomal RNA", at positions 354 to 792 of the family's 1533-position model. Lineage: Bacteria; Pseudomonadati; Bacteroidota; Bacteroidia; Bacteroidales; Prevotellaceae. The record is from RNAcentral.
UGAGGGAAUAUUGGGUCAAUGGACGCAAGUCUGAACCAGCCAAGUAGCGUGCAGGAUGACGGCCCUAUGGGUUGUAAACUGCUUUUAUGCGGGGAUAAAGUGAGGGACGUGUCCCUUUUUGUAGGUACCGCAUGAAUAAGGACCGGCUAAUUCCGUGCCAGCAGCCGCGGUAAUACGGAAGGUCCGGGCGUUAUCCGGAUUUAUUGGGUUUAAAGGGAGCGUAGGCCGUCGUUUAAGCGUGUUGUGAAAUGUAGGCGCCCAACGUCUGCACCGCAGCGCGAACUGGUGCCCUUGAGUACGCACGACGUUGGCGGAAUUCGCCGUGUAGCGGUGAAAUGCUUAGAUAUGGCGAAGAACUCCGAUUGCGAAGGCAGCUGACGGGAGCGCUACUGACGCUCAUGCUCGAAAGCGCGGGUAUCGAACAGGAUUAGAUACCCUGGUA